UAAAGUAUAAUUCGGAACAGCAACACAAAACCCCAACUCCAUUCAUUCAUUCAUCAGUGCGGGCGUCGAUCAUCAAAACUCAAAGGCAGGAACAGAUCGUUUUGAACAAUCGGCUGCAUAAACAUAAUAAACAUGGUUUGGGGCCUUUUCCCCGUCGACCCUCUUCCAGGGGAAGAAAGUUAUUAUUUCUUUUGCAAAGGGACGUAUAAAGUCGGACGUAAAGGAUGUGAUAUAAUUGUUAACAAAGAUAAAGGAGUUUCGCGAGUCCAUGCAGAAAUGGUCUUUGAUGAGAUGGUUUCCAUUGACAAUACGAAAAAGAAAUCAUGUGGAAUUAGGAUAAGGGAUUGCUCAAAGUACGGAACUUUUGUUAAGAAGCCAGUUGGGUCAAAAGAAAAAGUUCAUGAAUUUCCAAAUAAGGAGAUGAUAUUGGAUGAUGAAGACCUUAUUUCAUUUGGAACUGGUAAUGCUACUUACAGGUUUACUUACGUUCCACUUGUGUUUUUUAUUUGUGGCUUGGAACCUGUCCAAAUAAAAGAAGUUCAAGUGAAGAUAUUAUCCAUAGGUACUUGUAUGACUACAAAAUGGGGCCCAAACUGCACUCAUGUUCUUCUUGGUGAUAAUGUGUCACUAAAUGCUGAUGUAGUUGAUGCUGUAAUGUCCAGAAAGCAUUUUAUCAGUUAUAAAUGGAUUGAGAUACUUGCAGAUAAACGUAUUGGCACUCAAAUUCCCAGCUGCAGUUCCUAUGCUCCUACCUUGACUUUGCAAGAAGUCUCUGUUAAAGUUUCGGAGCCUGAGUCUCGAGAAAAUUGUUUAAGUGGGUACACUUUUCUGCUGGAGUCAUCAGACAAGUAUAAAGCUAAGAAAAAGUUGCAGCCGUUACUAGAAUCAUUUGGUGCAAAAGUUGAUCCUGCUGGAGAAUACAUACCCCACAGCCAGGGUUUGGAGGAUGAUGAAAAUACAGUUGUGCAUGUAAUCUCUGCUGGAGAGGGAUAUCGGCCUGAGUAUUCCCAUAACCUUAGCUCUGUACCUAAAGUGACUGAAGUAAACUUGAUUUGUGCUACUUUAUCUGGGCGUAUAGAUCCUGCUGUUUUUGUAUCACCGCCUGUACUAGUCACAUCUUCAUGCUCCACAGAUGAGACAGUGGUAGCAGAUUCUGAACCAGAAGUUGAAAUCACAUCCAUGAAUACAUCUUCUGCAAUUCACAAAACAGAGCCCAUUUGUUUAGAAUCCAUUAAACAUGACAGUGAAGGGGAAACAGCUUCUCAUAUAAUAAAUACAACAAAGUUCGAUGAUCAAGGAAACACAACUACUUAUGAUACCAUAUUAAAAUCGAAAGAGAGUCAAAGAGAUGAUAAAAGCUUGAUCCAAGUACGCAAGACUGAUGAUGCGGACCUUGGGACCUCAACUAUAAUUUUCAGCCAAGAUUUAAUCAUCCGGGAUACCAAUUUACUAUCCUCUGUGCCUUCUCAAACAAAUAAUCUAGUUUUGAACUUCAAACGUUUCAGAAAAAUGGGGACUGAAUCAGGAAAUAGUCUUCACAAUAUUGUACCUUUUUCAAAGCAUCCAUACAAGGGUUCUGAGUACGAGAAUGAGGAAGUAGCAGAGUCUUUGAAGGAAGAAAAGAAGCGUAAACAGAGGGAGGCUGUUGCAGAGGAUCUAUUUAAUAAAACUAAGGCAAAGCAACGUGGAGCAGCCGGUUUUCUCUCCGGCCUUUUUACCGGAAGAUGAUGUAGACAGAUAACGUCGGGUAGCCAAAGCUUUUCAAAGUCCAAUGGAAAAACCAGCGGCCCGAAGGCAAUAAAUAAAACAAGGGAAUAAAGGAGAUACAGAGAAGAAGAAAAGAUUGUGAAACUUGAAAAGAUGAAAUCGAAGAAGAGAGAAAAGGACAGAUGUCAUAUUGUGAUUAAUGGUACUUUCAUUCUUGUGAUUAGCCACUGUAUAAUACCGCGUAAAGCGUGAUUUCAUGUUAAGAAUUAUGGCUGAUUAAUUAUGUUUCAUUUGGGGCCUUAAACGAUGUUUUGGACUUUUGGUAAGCGAUUAUUUUGUUAGUGAUUUUAGUUCCAAA
Erigeron canadensis is the source of this 2065-nucleotide RNA transcript. It is a transcript of the gene named nijmegen breakage syndrome 1 protein, with no coding region annotated. The record is from RefSeq and is a predicted model, not a curated record. Lineage: Eukaryota; Viridiplantae; Streptophyta; Magnoliopsida; Asterales; Asteraceae. The transcript has 15 exons.